Molecule: ribosomal RNA, 497 nt
Filed under: uncultured bacterium
Lineage: Bacteria
Description: partial 16S ribosomal RNA
Rfam family: Bacterial small subunit ribosomal RNA
Source: RNAcentral
GAUGAACGCUGGCGGCGUGCCUAAUACAUGCAAGUCGAGCGAACGGACGAGAAGCUUGCUUCUCUGAUGUUAGCGGCGGACGGGUGAGUAACACGUGGAUAACCUACCUAUAAGACUGGGAUAACUUCGGGAAACCGGAGCUAAUACCGGAUAAUAUUUUGAACCGCAUGGUUCAAAAGUGAAAGACGGUCUUGCUGUCACUUAUAGAUGGAUCCGCGCUGCAUUAGCUAGUUGGUAAGGUAACGGCUUACCAAGGCAACGAUGCAUAGCCGACCUGAGAGGGUGAUAGGGCACACUGGAACUGAGACACGGUCCAGACUCAUAAGGGAGGCAGCAGUAGGGAAUCUUCCGCAAUGGGCGAAAGCCUGACGGAGCAACGCCGCGUGAGUGAUGAAGGUCUUCGGAUCGUAAAACUCUGUUAUUAGGGAAGAACAUAUGUGUAAGUAACUGUGCACAUCUUGACGGUACCUAAUCAGAAAGCCACGGCUAACUACGUG